UAUAUCAUAGUUGGCUAUCGUCAUUGAUACAACUACAGCAUCAUUGUGGAGAGUUUAGACUCCUCGCAGAUCUACUUCAGUAAAGAUGAUAUGGUUGUUGGCCUGUUGGUGCUUUGCGGUGCUUUCGAAGUUGUCUGCCCUUUGGAGUCAUGGUCCCAUCAAGAUCAUGUUGAUCUCACCCAUCGUAGGUUGAGUGUGAUUCUCCUCCUCGGGGUGGGAUCAUAUCGG
This 228-nucleotide long non-coding RNA is filed under the name Elaeis guineensis (African oil palm). Its description in RNAcentral is "long non-coding RNA (EGUI_LNC012169)". The record is from RNAcentral. Lineage: Eukaryota; Viridiplantae; Streptophyta; Magnoliopsida; Arecales; Arecaceae.